This 648-nucleotide ribosomal RNA is filed under the name uncultured Aquificales bacterium. RNAcentral's name for it is "bacterial SSU rRNA". It matches the Rfam family "Bacterial small subunit ribosomal RNA", at positions 50 to 667 of the family's 1533-position model. Lineage: Bacteria; Pseudomonadati; Aquificota; Aquificia; Aquificales. The record is from RNAcentral.
AACACAUGCAAGUCGUGGGGCAUCAGACCCUCCUUCGGGAGGGUGCUGGCGACCGGCAAACGGGUGAGUAACACGUGGGUAACCUACCCUCAGGAGGGGGAUAACCCCGGGAAACCGGGGCUAAUACCCCAUAAUGCCAGGCGCCACUGAGGUGUCCUGGUUAAAGGGGGCCUCUGCUUGCAAGCUCCCGCCUGAGGAUGGGCCCGCGGCCUAUCAGGUAGUUGGUGGGGUAAUGGCCUACCAAGCCUAUGACGGGUAGCCGGCCUGAGAGGGUAGCCGGCCACAGCGGGACUGAAACACGGCCCGCACCCCUACGGGGGGCAGCAGUGGGGAAUCGUGGGCAAUGGGCGAAAGCCUGACCCCGCGAUGCCGCGUGCGGGAAGAAGCCCUUCGGGGUGUAAACCGCUGUCAGGAGGGACGAAGGGACUGUGGGCUAAUACCUCACAGUCUUGACGGUACCUCCAGAGGAAGGGACGGCUAACUACGUGCCAGCAGCCGCGGUAAUACGUAGGUCCCGAGCGUUGCGCGGAGUCACUGGGCGUAAAGCGUCCGCAGCUGGUCGGGUAAGCGGGAUGUCAAAGCCCGCCGCUUAACGGCGGAACGGCAUCCUGAACUGCCUGACUUGAGGCACGCCCGGGCAGGCGGAAU